GCCGGGGUGGCGGAAUUGGUAGACGCAAGGGACUUAAAAUCCCUCGGAGAGUCAUCUCUGUGCGGGUUCGAUUCCCGCCCCCGGCA
This 86-nucleotide transfer RNA is filed under the name Acidobacteriota bacterium. Its description in RNAcentral is "Acidobacteria bacterium (groundwater metagenome) tRNA-Leu". It matches the Rfam family "tRNA". From Rfam's summary of the family: Transfer RNA (tRNA) molecules are approximately 80 nucleotides in length. RNAcentral also lists the same sequence under 1 other name. Lineage: Bacteria; Pseudomonadati; Acidobacteriota. The record is from RNAcentral.